UUUUUUUAUUUUUAUUUUUUUUUAUUUUCCUUUAAACACAUCCCAACCCAAAGUAUAAGCGCCCACCUAGUCCUAUCUAGUCCGAAAAAUGCGAACUAGAACUACAUGAGACACUAUCUCUGUCGUUACGAACCUAACACUUUCUACCAAGCUUAAUCGGAAUAAGACCUCACAAACACUCACAAGUGAUAUAGGGCUUGAAAGAAAGUCUAGGUUUGGGUUUGGGUUAACUGCUCUAAUAAAGAGAGUCAGCUACUUGAACUAACAAGAGUGAUCAAAAUGAAUAAGAAAAUCCAAGUAUUUUAGGGUAUCCAUGAGUUCAAAUUUGAUGCAGACAUGAUAAUUAAAGAUCAGAUUCAGGUUCAAAUUGAUAGGGAAUGGUAUCAGAUCAUGACAGUGUGGUCGAGUAGAGCAAUCUAGGCAUGGUUCAGUUUUAUUUCAAAUUCAUUGACUACGCAACAGACAACUAGCAACGAGGGCACUGAGUUUAUUCGGUGAAUCAAAAUGCUUACAAGACUAUCUCAUCAUCAUCCCCUAUGCAUAUGCAAUAAUCCUAAAUGAAACAUUCUAGACUCGAUCCUAAAUGUGAUGCAACUACAUGAACACUCUUUUUUUGUGAAAUCAUUUUCUGAAAUUUUUCAAUUUUUUUUUUUUUGGUUUUUCUAUGCCUUAGAUGAAUGCAGACUCAAAAAUAUACACAAUGCAACACACACUUUCUGAGCCCUCCCCCAAACUUAAAUCACACAGUCCACUGUGCGAAUAAACUUGGAAGAGAGUACUCAGGACAAAUCCAAUCACAGAAACAAAAAAUGAAGAAACAAAUCACAACAGAUGGUAUAAUACAAUGGUGAAGUGAGGCGCUUACCUUAGUCAAAGAAUGAACGUAGUUGCUCGUCAAUGGCUGCCUGUGAUUGCUCCCAGGCUAUAGACGAACCACCUUGUUCUGUAUCAGCUCCAGCAGGUGGGUACUCGACCUCAUCAGCUCUGUGGCGGCCAGCACCGCUCUGAGGAAACUCGACCUCUCUCCUUCUGCUGCGGCCAGCACCGCGGUCGCGUAAACUACGAGACUGCAGAAGUCGUUCGCUCCUACUGCUAGAUCGAGUGAGUGUGGUCCUCCUCUUCCUCCCAGAUUUACGAAGCUCGAAUGAUGAAUACCUCGCAGGGACAUGCGGAAUCUCCUGCUCUCUAGGCUGAGGCCUGCGCCGACUUGGCUCGGGCGCGUCAUAUCUCCUCGAAGGCAUGUCCUGAGGGAGAUGUCCCUGCGGAAUAGUUGUAGUGGAAGAGGAGCAGCUGAGCUUGUUCUUCAUAAACUUGAUAGCCCUGAGGCACUUGGCGAGUAACUUGUCCUGUUUCAUGCACCACUUCUGCAGCUUGCUGUUGUUCCUGUGAGCUUCGCUCAAACUCCUGCUUUCCCUCGCAGGAGGUAUAUGCUCACUGAAAUGAUACAUGCUCGUGUCAAACUCCGCCUCAUCUAUAUCAUCCGUCUCAUCAAUAUCUUCUGUUGUAGCUCCUUCGGUAUGACUGAUCACCUCAGUUGGCGGACUACCCUCGAAAUAAAGUUCUUCAAGCGCAGGCUUGAAGUCAAUGUUCCUGCCCUCGAGAAUCCUAGUAGCGUCAAUGCAGGGGAGAAGAAUGUUGGCGAUUUUAAUCGAUGAAUGCUCGAACCUGUAGCGGUGAAAGUCGCCAGCCAUGUCAAACUCCAAGAACUCACAUCUGCGCAAAUGAUCCAAGUCCAUCAUCCUCGGUGCUAACCCUGGUUCCUUGAGCCGUACUCCACAAGCUUCCAGAAUUGGCGUCACAACGCCACCCACGCAUAGUUCUCCUUUUUGUU
RNAcentral lists this small RNA (1831 nucleotides) under Arabidopsis thaliana (thale cress). Its description in RNAcentral is "ATSL162070". The record is from RNAcentral. Lineage: Eukaryota; Viridiplantae; Streptophyta; Magnoliopsida; Brassicales; Brassicaceae.